ACGUACACUCCUACGGGAGGCAGCAGUGGGGAAUAUUGGACAAUGGGCGCAAGCCUGAUCCAGCCAUGCCGCGUGAGUGAUGAAGGCCCUAGGGUUGUAAAGCUCUUUCACCGGUGAAGAUAAUGACGGUAACCGGAGAAGAAGCCCCGGCUAACUUCGUGCCAGCAGCCGCGGUAAUACGAAGGGGGCUAGCGUUGUUCGGAUUUACUGGGCGUAAAGCGCACGUAGGCGGACUAUUAAGUCAGGGGUGAAAUCCCGGGGCUCAACCCCGGAACUGCCUUUGAUACUGGUAGUCUUUAGUUCGAGAGAGGUGAGUGGAAUUCCGAGUGUAGAGGUGAAAUUCGUAGAUAUUCGGAGGAACACCAGUGGCGAAGGCGGCUCACUGGCUCGAUACUGACGCUGAGGUGCGAAAGCGUGGGGAGCAAACAGGAUUAGAAACCCCGGUAGUCCCAUGAU
RNAcentral lists this ribosomal RNA (456 nucleotides) under uncultured organism. RNAcentral describes it as "partial 16S ribosomal RNA". It matches the Rfam family "Bacterial small subunit ribosomal RNA", at positions 329 to 801 of the family's 1533-position model. The record is from RNAcentral.